UACAGAGGGUGCGAGCGUUGUUCGGAAUUACUGGGCGUAAAGCGCGCGCAGGCGGCCUUUUAAGUCUGACGGUGAAAUGCCGGGGCUCAACCCCGUGCCCGCCGGAGAUACUGGGAGGCUGGAGACGAGUAGAGGCAAGCGGAAUUCCGGGUGUAGCGGUGGAAUGCGUAGAGAUCCGGAAGAACACCGGAGGCGAAGGCGGCUUGCUGGGCUCAUGUCUGACGCUGAGGCGCGAAAGCGUGGGGAGCGAACAGG
Molecule: ribosomal RNA, 255 nt
Filed under: uncultured bacterium
Lineage: Bacteria
Description: partial 16S ribosomal RNA
Rfam family: Bacterial small subunit ribosomal RNA
Source: RNAcentral